GGGCAUAGGGUCAGUCUCUUCUGGGCCUGCACUGUCAGUGGUGGUGAUGCACUGUUGCUUUUGCUGUUCUCUUGGUCAGCCUGGGAGGUAUGUUUGCCAUGAUCAUUUUUGUAUUUGUUAUAAUGCUUACAAAGGUUUUGACAGAAUUUUUCAAAAGAUGAUUGUCUCUCUAAGUCAAAAGUAUUUAAGAUUCUUCCAAGUUCCAUCCCAAAAAAGUGGAGAUUUAUGAAACAUGGUGAUUUGGAUCAAACCACUUGUCAUUGUUUGUCAAAAUUUCCUGAUAUGACAUAUAUGGGGCAGAUCUCAUUGUUAUCCUAGACCUUACAUCAUUAUCAUUGAGAUUUUUGAACUUUUGCCUUGUUAUAUGUUUGUAAUGAGUUUGUAUUUUCAUUACACCUGUUCAUGCAGGAGGGGAUACUCUGUCAUUUCUGAAGAAAUUGUCUGGAUCAAUUUUGCUUUUUUACUUGGACCAACCUCUUGAAAUUGUCUUUAAAGUACUUCACACCCCAAACACUUGCCUCUAAGUAAGCUUGUUUUAACAUCUUUGUUUCUCCCCAAGUCGAGGUCUCUAUAGUUAAAAUAGGCUGAUCUUUGAGACUUGGAAGCAAAUGGCGUCAUGUACCUGUAAAACAUCCUGAUCCAGUGCAUAUGCUUGUUUGAUUCUCGGGCUUUUUGUCAAUUCAGGGGUAGGAAUAUUUUUAUUUACGGAUUUGGGGUUAGAAUAAAAAUAUUUGAGGAUUUAGAAUUGGGGUGACAGGUGGCGACCGAAAAACUUGCUUGGAAAGAUUAAAUAAUAUUAAUAAUAUUAAAUAAUAUUAAUUAUAAAUUUAUUUAACUAUUAUUAAAUAUAUAUACAAAAAAGAUUGAAUUAAAUAAUUAAUAAAAAAUAGAUUAAUUAAUUAAUUAAUUAAUAUAAAUAUUUAAAAUUAUAAAAAUUAAAUUUAUUUUUAUUGAACUGUCACUCAUAUAUAAUCACACAAUAAAUUAAUACAAUAAUACUGUAAUUAAAUAGUAUCAAUAAUUUUUUAAUUACAUAAUAAUGUUGUUUUAUAACUCUACAAAUUACUAUAAUCAGUUAUAAAUAAUUAUCAUAUUUUAUAAAAAUAUUUUUAAUAUAUAAGAAUACUAUAAAAGUUAAUAACAAAUGAACUAUAUAUAAAAAUAUUUAAACGCAUAAAAUAUUUAAAAUUAUUAUAUUAUUUUGCUAUUAGAUAUUAUAUAAAAAUAUUAAAUUAUUUAUAAUUUAUUAAAAAGAAAUAAAUAAAUAAAUUAAUUUAAUUAUAUGAUAAAUUAAUUAUCAGUAUAAUUUUAUUUUAUUUAAAUAUUAAUAUAUAUUUUAUAUAUUAAUAUUUAAUAUAUUUUAUUAUUAAUAUUUAAAUUAAAAAUAUUACUGACUCUAUAUAAUUUAUAAUUUCAGUAUUAUAAAAUUAAUAUUAUUAUGUAAUUAUAUACAUUAUCAUAAAAUUAAUAUUAUUCUGUAAUUAUGUAUAGCUGGACAAUAGAAAUCUAAUAAAAAUAAAUUUAAUUUUUAUAAUUUUAAAUAUUUAUAUUAAUUUAUUUUUUUAUUCAAUCCAAGUCAUUUGUGUGCAAUCUGCAGCUUUCAAUCCCAAUUCAGGGAAAUUCUGGUUUAUCAAUGGCAUUAGCCUGUCGAUUCCUCCAAGAAACAGUGAAUGAAAGGAAACUUGGACCGUCUUUGGAUUUGUACUUGUGCCCCCACCAACAUUUUGAAUGAUGAUUCUGAGAAAGAGAUCUUCAUGGAGCUUGUCUGCAAUGUAUUGCCACUUAUGGACAAGUUCGAUAGCACCUUGUUCUAAUGUUCUUGAAACAGUGAAAAUUGUCACAACUGGGGGAACUUUAACAAGCUUGAUCUUCCAGGAAAGAAUGACUCCAAACCUGCUCCGCCACCUCCUCUAAUAGCCCAAAACAAGUCUUCUCCUAUAGCUUUUCUAUCAAGAAUUGUUCCAUUAACAUCUACCAAGAAAGCAUCAAUGACGUUAUCGGCUGCAAGCCCAUAUUUCCUCAGCAAGGUACCAACACCCCCUCCACUGAAAUGCCCACCAACUCCAACAGUAGGGCAUAUUCCUGAUAGGAACCCAUGAACUCUACUUUCCUUGCCAAUAGCACAGUAAAGCUCACCAAGUGUCGCACCAGACUGAACCCAUGCUGAUUCAUCUGCAAUAUCAACCUCUACAGCUCGGAAAUUCCUGAGAUUAAUGAUAAUGAAUGGGGGAAGUCUGACAUAGAUAAGCUAAGCCUUCAUAGUUAUGGCCACCGCUUCUGACUCGAACUUGUAAACCCUUCUUUUUGCUGCAAAGAACAGCUGCUUGGAUUUCUGACUCAUGGAAUGGUGUGAGAACGAGAUCUGCUUAUUUGAAAUUGUGGAGUUUACCCAUCUCAUAUUUUGUUGAGAUGAUUGCAAAGUAUGUGAAUAUAAAGAGGAUUGAGGAGUGAAGAUGAUUUCAAAAGAUUUGGUAUAGGGGUUGAAUUGGGUUGACAUGCAAUUGACAAAGUUUCAUGGAUUGGACUUGAAUUUGCACAUGAAACAAUUAAAAGCCAAGAUAGAAAUCCUUCAACAAUGAACCUCAUUUCGAUCUUAUGUUUGAUUAGUUUUGGUCGCCAAAGAGAGAAUUUUUCAUUAGAGAGAUCUUGUGAAGACGACUUCAGCAGGAGUGCAUAUGGGACAAGAAGGCGAAGAUUUCAAUAAGGAAAGAGGAAAAAUCAUACACGUUAUCAGUUAUCAGAGCGCGCUGUAGUUAUGUCGUUUUACUUGGGUUUGACAAUCAAGUUUGAAAGUUGUCAACUUAGUUGUCAACUUCUCCUUUACAUGCAUUAAAAUCUAAAAUGAGUAACCAGACUUCAUUAAUCCUGAAAUUGAAUUGUCAGCUAAUUCAUUAUUCUGAAAUUGAUUUCAUUUUUAGCUAACUCAUUACUCCCAUUUUUUAGGAUAAUUUUGGAGUGCUGAUCCUUUUCUUUACUGUCUCGACAGCCUGUUGGUGGUGAUUCGCGGGACCUAUGCUAGUCCCGGAAGGCAUGAGUGACGGAGUGAGUUCGCCGAACAGUCUACUGCCUCCAGCCUCUGCCGCCAUUAAAGGAUUUUGCUGCUCCUUUUCAUGGAUUUUGUUGCUCAUCGACGGUAGGAUCCUGUUGCAGCUUGGCGUCCCUUUCGAGCUUCUAGAACAGUGUCCUUUGUCCCUGGUUGUUCGCGUUGUUGAUCAGCUUCUCUCUUCUUCCCAGCGUUACUUGGCCGGUGGAGCGGCGGGGGACGACUCCGUUUGAUGUUCUAAGGUUUUACUUCAGCAAGGUUCUCUGCUUUGGGCCUUAUCUUAGUCUGGGCCUUGUUGUUAGUUUGGACCCUUUCUUUUUAUCCAUGGCCUGUCUUCUAUAUAAAAUCUGUUGAAGUUUUUGGGCUGGGCCUUAGGCCUUUUGUUGAAUCAAUGAAUUUGAUUUUUGACGAAAAGAAAAACUAUUUUUUUAGAUAGAAAAUGGGAGAAGCUUAAAUAAAGUUAAUUAAUUUAUGAAAUGAACGUGUUCUGUGCAAGCCCAAAAAUUAUAUUGCAUAGAUUUAGGAAAAAAAAUGAAACCUGGGAAAUUGCAAAUUCCAAUGCUUUUUUAAUUUACCUCGUUCACUUUUCUGUAGCUUUAUUUGAUUUGCAUGGGAAUGGGAGAAUGAGCAUGCAUUUUAGCUUUCAUACUGAGAGACUAAAAGCUGAGUUGUUCUGUAGCUUUAUUUGUUUUGAUUCUUACCAUGGUUUUGACAGAAUUUCGAAACAUUGAUAGUCUCUGCUUGAUCAAAAUCUCUCAGAAGUAUUUAAGGUUCUCCCCUCCCAGAUCUCAGUGGAAUCUUCAUCUAUCUUAGAUUUUGCAUUAUUACAAUUGAAAUUUAUGAACUUUUUGCCUGUUGUGUUUUUGAGUUUGACUUCAUUCUUUUAUCAACUAUCUUUUCCAGUUCCACUUGCUGCCAUUACUUCUUUACUAGGACUUGUGUCUCUCAACAGUGAAGAUGUUAUCCAGAGUGAUUUGAGCUUCCAGAAGUUGUAAGUCGAUCUGUUUUUCUGAUCUUAUAAAAAUUUGGGUUUUCUUCAUUAAGCUAGGAGCAACAGGCCUUGUCGUUCAGCUUGUUACAGUCUGCUGCUGUAGUUACGUGGUGAAUGUGAAGUUACUCUGACUGGGGUGGGGUGUUCACAAAAGCAAGUAGUUAUUUUACAUUUUGAGUUACACAUCCAGCACAAUAUGUUGGGUCUACUAUUUGGUGUGCCUGAUAAUUAUACAGGGACCUUACAGGAGAAAAGUUUCACUCCAACGUACGAGUUUUGUAUUUCCAUUGCACCUAUUCAUGGAUGGAGGGAAUACUCUGUUCAUUUCUGAAGAAAUUGCCAGGAUCAAUUUUGCUUUUCACUUGGACCAACCUCUUG
RNAcentral lists this long non-coding RNA (4412 nucleotides) under Manihot esculenta (cassava). RNAcentral describes it as "long non-coding RNA (MESC_LNC008464)". Lineage: Eukaryota; Viridiplantae; Streptophyta; Magnoliopsida; Malpighiales; Euphorbiaceae. The record is from RNAcentral.